Molecule: ribosomal RNA, 253 nt
Filed under: uncultured bacterium
Lineage: Bacteria
Description: partial 16S ribosomal RNA
Rfam family: Bacterial small subunit ribosomal RNA
Source: RNAcentral
UACAGAGGUCUCAAGCGUUGUUCGGAUUCAUUGGGCGUAAAGAGCGCGCAGGCGGCUUGGUAAGUCGGAUGUGAAAACCCGAGGCUCAACCUCGGGCGUGCAUCCGAAACUGCUCGGCUAGAGGUAGGUAGGGGAGAUCGGAAUUCCUGGUGUAGCGGUGAAAUGCGCAGAUAUCAGGAGGAACACCGGUGGCGAAGGCGGAUCUCUGGGCCUUACCUGACGCUCAGGCGCGAAAGCUAGGGGAGCGAACUGG